This 497-nucleotide ribosomal RNA is filed under the name uncultured bacterium. RNAcentral describes it as "partial 16S ribosomal RNA". It matches the Rfam family "Bacterial small subunit ribosomal RNA", at positions 28 to 507 of the family's 1533-position model. The record is from RNAcentral.
GAUGAACGCUGGCGGCGUGCCUAAUACAUGCAAGUCGAGCGAACGGACGAGAAGCUUGCUUCUCUGAUGUUGGCGGCGGACGGGUGAGUAACACGUGGAUAACCUACCUAUAAGACUGGGAUAACUUCGGGAAACCGGAGCUAAUACCGGAUAAUAUUUUGAACCGCAUGGUUCCAAAGUGAAAGACGGUCUUGCUGUCACUUAUAGAUGGAUCCGCGCUGCAUUAGCUAGUUGGUAAGGUAACGGCUUACCAAGGCAACGAUGCAUAGCCGACCUGAGAGGGUGAACGGCCACACGGGAACUGAGACACGGUCCAGACUCCUACGGGAGGCAGCAGUAGGGAAUCUUCCGCAAUGGGCGAAAGCCUGACGGAGCAACGCCGCGUGAGUGAUGAAGGUCUUCGGAUCGUAAAACUCUGUUAUUAGGGAAGAACAUAUGUGUAAGUAACUGUGAAGAUAUUGACGGUACCUAAUCAGAAAGCCACGGCUAACUACGUG